This 435-nucleotide ribosomal RNA is filed under the name uncultured bacterium. RNAcentral describes it as "partial 16S ribosomal RNA". It matches the Rfam family "Bacterial small subunit ribosomal RNA", at positions 28 to 507 of the family's 1533-position model. The record is from RNAcentral.
GAUGAACGCUGGCGGUAUGCUUAACACAUGCAAGUCGAACGGACUCUUCGGAGUUAGUGGCGGACGGGUGAGUAACGCGUGAGAAUCUGGCUUUGGGUUCGGGACAACCACUGGAAACGGUGGCUAAUACCGGAUGUGCCGAGAGGUAAAAGAGAAAUUGCCUGAAGAUGAGCUCGCGUCUGAUUAGCUAGUUGGUGAGGUAAAGGCUCACCAAGGCAGCGAUCAGUAGCUGGUCUGAGAGGAUGACCAGCCACACUGGGACUGAGACACGGCCCAGACUCCUACGGGAGGCAGCAGUGGGGAAUUUUCCGCAAUGGGCGAAAGCCUGACGGGGCAAUACCGCGUGAGGGAAGAAGGCUCUUGGGUUGUAAACCUCUUUUCUUAGGGAAGAACAAAAUGACGGUACCUAAGGAAUCAGCAUCGGCUAACUCCGUG